UGUUUUUACAAAAACAUCGCUCUUUGUUGUAUAACAAAUAAGGAGUCGGACCUGCCCAGUGAAUUUUUAACGGCCGCGGUACUCUGACCGUGCAAAGGUAGCAUAAUAAUUUGCCUUAUAAUUGAAGGCUGGUAUGAAUGGUUUGACGAGAAUAAAGCUGUCUCUUUACGACUUAAUAAAAAUUUAUUUGUGGAUGAAAAAGUCCACAUAUGAUUAAAAGACAAGAAGACCCUAUCGAGCUUUAAAAAAUUUAAUGGAAUAUAAAAACAAUUAAAACUUAAAAGUUAAGCUAUUAAAAAUUUUAGUUGGGGCGACCAAGGAACAAAAAAAGCUUCCUUAAAUAUUUUUUUACUAUAUUGGUUUUGAUCCAGAAGUUUCUGAUUAAUAAAAUUAGUUACCGUAGGGAUAACAGCAUUAUCUUUUUUAAGAGUUCUUAUCGAAAAAAAGGUUUGUGACCUCGAUGUUGGACCAGAAUAUCCUGAAGAUGCAGCAGUCUUCAAGGGUUGGUCUGUUCGACCAUUAAUAUUCUACGUGAUCUGAUUUCC
Molecule: ribosomal RNA, 545 nt
Filed under: Strigatella litterata
Lineage: Eukaryota; Metazoa; Mollusca; Gastropoda; Neogastropoda; Mitridae
Description: partial 16S ribosomal RNA
Rfam family: Bacterial large subunit ribosomal RNA
Source: RNAcentral